RNAcentral lists this ribosomal RNA (495 nucleotides) under uncultured bacterium. RNAcentral describes it as "partial 16S ribosomal RNA". It matches the Rfam family "Bacterial small subunit ribosomal RNA", at positions 28 to 507 of the family's 1533-position model. The record is from RNAcentral.
GACGAACGCUGGCGGCGUGCCUAAUACAUGCAAGUAGAACGCUGAAGGAGGAGCUUGCUCUUCUGGAUGAGUUGCGAACGGGUGAGUAACGCGUAGGUAACCUGCCUGGUAGCGGGGGAUAACUAUUGGAAACGAUAGCUAAUACCGCAUAACAGUAGAUGUUGCAUGACAUUUACUUAAAAGGUGCAAUUGCAUCACUACCAGAUGGACCUGCGUUGUAUUAGCUAGUUGGUGGGGUAACGGCUCACCAAGGCGACGAUACAUAGCCGACCUGAGAGGGUGGUCGGCCACACUGGGACUGAGACACGGCCCAGACUCCUACGGGAGGCAGCAGUAGGGAAUCUUCGGCAAUGGACGGAAGUCUGACCGAGCAACGCCGCGUGAGUGAAGAAGGUUGUCGGAUCGUAAAGCUCUGUUGUAAGAGAAGAACGAGUGUGAGAGUGGAAAGUUCACACUGUGACGGUAUCUUACCAGAAAGGGACGGCUAACUACGUG